GUUCAAACUGUUUUUCUCUUUCACGUUCAAUUUUUCUCUUUGUUUUUCUCUUUCACGUUCAAUUUUUCUCUUUCUUUUUUUGGUUCUCUUUUUUUUAUUCCUUUGUCUUCUGACUUCUCUUCCUUCUUUGCUUUUCUUUUUGUUUUUUCAACGUUUCUUUUUUUUGUUUUCUUUUCUCUCCUGUUCUCUUUUCUUCUUUUUUCCGUUUCUUUCUU
Molecule: long non-coding RNA, 215 nt
Filed under: Nicotiana benthamiana
Lineage: Eukaryota; Viridiplantae; Streptophyta; Magnoliopsida; Solanales; Solanaceae
Description: long non-coding RNA (NBEN_LNC034475)
Source: RNAcentral